AUGAGCUGCCUCCCGCUCGCGCGCGCGCGUGCCCGCACCGGCUCGGCUCGGCCCCGCGCGCCGCGGCCCCGCAGCAGCUGCCUUCCCCGAGGCGCUGCAGGCAGCCCGGCACCCCCCACCCGCCCUGAUUCCCAUCCCCACAAGCCCCCCCGGGCGCCAGAGCCCUUCGCCCUCGAUGACUUUGUGCUUCGGGCUCCGCUAGGAGCAGCCGGCGGCAUCUCCAGGGACCGCGUCUCGCACGUCCCCCGGAUGCCGGCGGACGCAGCCCCCGCCGCCAGCUGCUCCGUCCCCCGGCCAGAGCCGGGACAGCCGUGGCGGGGGGGGGGGAGGCAGCCCCACGCUGAGCCUUGGGGACAGCUGUGGGGGCCCCGCGCACAGCAGGCGCCUGCGGCAGUUGCUGCACCCGGGGCAGGUGCAGACGAUGGGGGCCGCAGCUCCAGUGGCAGUAGGGGGGACCGGGAACAACUGCGAGGAGGGGGGGGCUCAGUGCUGCCAGCCCCUCGGCAGUGGUGGGGCCACCCUGGCACCACCGAGCCCCCCCUAGCGGCUGCGGGUGCUCCCCAAACCGUGCCCGGUGUUGGUGGGAAACUGAGGCACGAAGAGUGGCCGGGAGCCCCGCUGACCUGGGCUCGUCCCCACGGUGCCGUGGCCAAGGGAGGGCGAUGGAGGCUCAGCGCCUCAGCUCCAUCCAUGUCGCCGCGGGACCUGUCCUCCUCCUCCUCCCACAACCAGCCCGGCGCUCUCUUACCUUCUCCAGCUUCUCCUCCCUUGGCAGCAUCCGUCCCACGUGUCCCUGCGCAAAGUCCCGAAGGGCGGAAACCUGGAGGGCAGCCUCUGCCAUCAGGGAAACGCCAGCAGCAGGUCAGCUGCUUUUUCGGGAGGGCUCGGACACCGUCGUUGCUAAAGCCCGGUGGAGCUCAGGCUGUUGCACGUGUCAUCUCGCACGUGGAUCCCAACUCAUGUCCCAAAUGUGCCAGACAUGCCCAGUUUAAGCCUGAAAACGUGCCUGGAUAA
RNAcentral lists this long non-coding RNA (1014 nucleotides) under Apteryx haastii (Great spotted kiwi). Its description in RNAcentral is "lncRNA (ENSAHAG00000008344.1)". The record is from RNAcentral. Lineage: Eukaryota; Metazoa; Chordata; Aves; Apterygiformes; Apterygidae.